CUUGUUCCAGUCUGCUCAUGGUGGAGCACCGCGCUAACCACGCGGCGUGGCGGGUUCGAUUCCCGCAAACAACC
RNAcentral lists this transfer RNA (74 nucleotides) under compost metagenome. RNAcentral's name for it is "tRNA-Val". The record is from RNAcentral.